GCCCGGCGCGGAAUGCGUCACCGUCCAAGAUGGAAAGAUCGUCUUCAGCCGGUUCCUUUUCGACCGGGCGCCGUUCGAGGCGGCACGCCGGGCG
RNAcentral lists this transfer RNA (94 nucleotides) under Rhizocola hellebori. RNAcentral describes it as "tRNA-Leu". Lineage: Bacteria; Bacillati; Actinomycetota; Actinomycetes; Micromonosporales; Micromonosporaceae. The record is from RNAcentral.